GUCUACGGUCAUGCUGCCCUGAACACUCCGGAUCCUGUCUGAUCUCAGAAGCUAAGCAGGGUCGGGCCUGGUUAGUACUUGGAUGGGAGACCACCUAGGAAGACCAGGUGCUGUAGGCG
This 119-nucleotide ribosomal RNA is filed under the name Pteropus alecto (black flying fox). The record is from RNAcentral. Lineage: Eukaryota; Metazoa; Chordata; Mammalia; Chiroptera; Pteropodidae.